Molecule: long non-coding RNA, 300 nt
Filed under: Podarcis lilfordi (Lilford's wall lizard)
Lineage: Eukaryota; Metazoa; Chordata; Lepidosauria; Squamata; Lacertidae
Source: RNAcentral
CUUCUCAUUUCUGCUGCCUGUUAAUUCUAUAGGUGAUGAACACUGGAGGAUGUCGUUCUCUAUCAAAAGAUCCCUAGAACUGAGUGUCAGGAUUGCAUGUGGGUCCUGAAGCGUACAUGUUAACCUCAUACCUAAUAGUAAUAUAUGACAGCUGGACCAUGUUGAUUUGCAACAAAACGCAAGCACGGUUCCAUUCACUCCAUUACUGAUUGUUAACAUAUCUUGUCCACCUACUCCCCAAAUCUACUCUGCUCCUUUUUGUUGGGCCUUUGAAUGUACCAUUAAAAUUAUGUAUUUUGA